UACGGAGGGUGCAAGCGUUAUCCGGAAUCACUGGGUUUAAAGGGCGCGUAGGCGGAGAGGUAAGUCAGUCGUGAAAUUUCUUGGCUUAACCAAAGAGACUGCGAUUGAUACUGCUUCCCUUGAAUGAGGUUGAGGUAGGCGGAAUGUGGCAUGUAGCGGUGAAAUGCUUAGAUAUGCCAUAGAACACCGAUUGCGAAGGCAGCUUGCUGGACCAUCAUUGACGCUGAGGCACGAAAGCGUGGGGAGCAAACAGG
Molecule: ribosomal RNA, 254 nt
Filed under: uncultured bacterium
Lineage: Bacteria
Description: partial 16S ribosomal RNA
Rfam family: Bacterial small subunit ribosomal RNA
Source: RNAcentral